ACAAUGGAGAGUUUGAUCCUGGCUCAGGAUGAACGCUAGCUACAGGCUUAACACAUGCAAGUCGAGGGGAAACGACAUCGAAAGCUUGCUUUUGAUGGGCGUCGACCGGCGCACGGGUGAGUAACGCGUAUCCAACCUGCCCACCACUUGGGGAUAACCUUGCGAAAGUAAGACUAAUACCCAAUGAUAUCUCUAGAAGACAUCUGAAGGAGAUUAAAGAUUUAUCGGUGAUGGAUGGGGAUGCGUCUGAUUAGCUUGUUGGCGGGGUAACGGCCCACCAAGGCGACGAUCAGUAGGGGUUCUGAGAGGAAGGUCCCCCACAUUGGAACUGAGACA
Molecule: ribosomal RNA, 336 nt
Filed under: Segatella copri
Lineage: Bacteria; Pseudomonadati; Bacteroidota; Bacteroidia; Bacteroidales; Prevotellaceae
Description: bacterial SSU rRNA
Rfam family: Bacterial small subunit ribosomal RNA
Source: RNAcentral